RNAcentral lists this ribosomal RNA (253 nucleotides) under uncultured bacterium. Its description in RNAcentral is "partial 16S ribosomal RNA". It matches the Rfam family "Bacterial small subunit ribosomal RNA", at positions 524 to 776 of the family's 1533-position model. The record is from RNAcentral.
UCCAGAGGUGGCAAGCGUUGUUCGGAAUUACUGGGCGUAAAGGGCGCGUAGGCGGCCAUCUAAGUCAGACGUGAAAUCCCCCGGCUUAACCUGGGAACUGCGUCUGAUACUGGAGGGCUCGAGUGCGGGAGAGGGAUGUGGAAUUCCAGGUGUAGCGGUGAAAUGCGUAGAUAUCUGGAGGAACACCGGUGGCGAAGGCGGCAUCCUGGACCGACACUGACGCUGAGGCGCGAAAGCUAGGGUAGAAAACGGG